UGUGUAUUUGCACUUGAGUAAACUUUGUCAAUAUCUUAUCAGUCUGUCUACAGUAACGCAGGUUCAUAGUUGCAUCUGGUUUAAGUCUAAAUUUCAUGUGUAGACUCAAGCCUUACCUUAACAAAAGCAAACAUAGCAUCUAAUAAAAAAAUAGGGGAUAACACACACACACAGAUACACACACAACUAAAUAUGUAUAUAUACGAGCAACAUAAUCCCACAAAUAAAUCAUACUAAAACACAAGGAACAAUGUAUCUAAACUCAUAUUGUGCUAUUGAGUGGACCUUAAACAGUCUACACAAUAAAUAUGUAAUAAUAAUAAUAAAUAAUAAUUUAUUUAUCGACCAUCUCCAGAUGGCUCUUUUAGGCUGUGGGAAAAAAAUGCAUGCCUCUCUGGCUCACUGACAAAGAUCAUAUCAGGGGAAAGUGUUUCUGCUCCACACAAGAACUGUUUACUGGCGAGUAUAACUCUUCAAACAAGAGACCAUUUAACAUGAAUGUGAGUGAUGUGAAUCUGAUGAUAAUUUGUGAACAAUUAAAGACCAGGCUCGUCAAAAAUAACGCGAACAGAGAACAACAGCGCCACCGACUGGACGAAAGAUGAACGGCUGACUGUGACACUGGCGCCUUCUGCUGGUCACAUCCGCGAACAGCACAUCAACGCAACUGCGACUAUGAAAGGGGAAACAAAUCAGUUUAUAUCUUAUAUUUUAAACACAUUUUAUUUUAUUUCAUUAAAUUGAAUGAAACAGGUAUAUAUAAUUAUUUUAAAAUAUCGCGUUGAAUAAUAAUAAUAAAAAAAAAUCAAGUCAUGUGUAAUUUCUUUUUGGGACUGUAAGCCUCGAAUGACACCCUGACACUUUGACUGAAUCUGACCUCCUGUGGCAUGCAGCUCAUCUAAAUGUUAAACAUCAGUCGUCAAGACCAUAGCAGAGAAUGUCUAAUAUGGCGAGAAGUUUCACUCUCUACACUUCCGGCUUCUGAACUGGUUGCAGUUCCACUCUGAUUCCAUAUGAGGGCGCUCACAGGACGAAUGCAGAAUGAAUGGAGGUCAAUGGCGGUAUACCCCUCAAAAUCCACUUUUCUCAAGAUAUAAUUUUUUGUCUAGUAAUUUGAAUGUUGUAUUCGAAAGGAGAUGCAAAUAAAUUACACAUUGCUGGGUGUUAAA
Carassius gibelio (silver crucian carp) is the source of this 1169-nucleotide long non-coding RNA. RefSeq lists it as uncharacterized. Lineage: Eukaryota; Metazoa; Chordata; Actinopteri; Cypriniformes; Cyprinidae. The record is from RefSeq and is a predicted model, not a curated record. The transcript has 2 exons.